ACACUCUGAUCUCUCCUCAUAUCAUAUAAAUCUUUCAUCUUUUACUAAACAUUUCUGUAGAGAGGAACAACUUCACGUUUUUCACUAAUUUUUUGAGGCCUUGCUUUGGCAGGACU
Molecule: small nuclear RNA, 116 nt
Filed under: Carlito syrichta (Philippine tarsier)
Lineage: Eukaryota; Metazoa; Chordata; Mammalia; Primates; Tarsiidae
Description: U5 spliceosomal RNA (ENSTSYG00000037476.1)
Rfam family: U5 spliceosomal RNA
About the family: U5 RNA is a component of both types of known spliceosome. The precise function of this molecule is unknown, though it is known that the 5' loop is required for splice site selection and p220 binding, and that both the 3' stem-loop and the Sm site are important for Sm protein binding and cap methylation.
Source: Rfam by way of RNAcentral